GAAGAACUCAGUCAGGUUUUUUUAUAGCAACGAAAAAAUAUUUUAACCAUGUAUUCCGUAUAGUUAACGAGCACCUGCGAAUUGCAGGUUUCCUACGGACAAUGCACGUGUGUAUGUAAAAACAAUGUUGUCAUAAAAUAGUCGCGAUAAAUUUGCACGUACGAAAUCGUAAAUGUAAGGUGCAGUUAACUAUUGUAAAAAGUCACGUACAGAGGAUUG
This is a non-coding RNA of Cinara cedri, 219 nucleotides long. Lineage: Eukaryota; Metazoa; Arthropoda; Insecta; Hemiptera; Aphididae. The record is from the annotation of a GenBank genome assembly.